This 450-nucleotide ribosomal RNA is filed under the name uncultured bacterium. RNAcentral describes it as "bacterial SSU rRNA". It matches the Rfam family "Bacterial small subunit ribosomal RNA", at positions 329 to 793 of the family's 1533-position model. The record is from RNAcentral.
GGCCAGACUCCUACGGGAGGCAGCAAUGGGGAAUAUUGCACAAUGGGGGAAACCCUGAUGCAGCGACGCCGCGUGAGUGAAGAAGUAUUUCGGUAUGUAAAGCUCUAUCAGCAGGAACGAGACAAGACGGUACCUGACUAAGAAGCCCCGGCUAACUACGUGCCAGCAGCCGCGGUAAUACGUAGGGGGCAAGCGUUAUCCGGAAUCACUGGGUGUAAAGGGAGCGUAGACGGCUGUGCAAGCCUGAAGUGAAAGGCGGGGGCCCAACCCCUGGACUGCUUUGGGAACUGUACGGCUGGAGUGCAGGAGAGGUAAGUGGAAUUCCUAGUGUAGCGGUGAAAUGCGUAGAUAUUAGGAGGAACACCAGUGGCGAAGGCGGCUUACUGGACUGUAACUGACGUUGAGGCUCGAAAGCGUGGGGAGCAAACAGGAUUAGAUACCCCUGUACAA